Molecule: ribosomal RNA, 247 nt
Filed under: uncultured bacterium
Lineage: Bacteria
Description: partial 16S ribosomal RNA
Rfam family: Bacterial small subunit ribosomal RNA
Source: RNAcentral
AGAGUUUGAUCAUGGCUCAGGAUGAACGCUAGCUACGAGGCUUAACAACAUGCAAGUCGAGGGGCAGCAUGAACUUAGCUUGCUAAGUUUGAUGGCGACCGGCGCACGGGUGAGUAACACGUAUCCAACCUGCCGAUGACUCGGGGAUAGCCUUUCGAAAGAAAGAUUAAUACCCGAUGGCAUAGUUCUUCCUCAUGGUGGAACUAUUAAAGAAUUUCGGUCAUCGAUGGGGAUGCGUUCCAUUAGG